RNAcentral lists this signal recognition particle RNA (297 nucleotides) under Microcebus murinus (gray mouse lemur). RNAcentral describes it as "Metazoan signal recognition particle RNA (ENSMICG00000032920.2)". It matches the Rfam family "Metazoan signal recognition particle RNA". From Rfam's summary of the family: The signal recognition particle (SRP) is a universally conserved ribonucleoprotein. It is involved in the co-translational targeting of proteins to membranes. Lineage: Eukaryota; Metazoa; Chordata; Mammalia; Primates; Cheirogaleidae. The record is from RNAcentral.
GCCAGGCAUGGUGGCAUGGUCCUGUAGUCUCAGCUACUUGUGAGGCUGAGGCUGGAGGAUUGCUUGAGUACAGGAGUUCCAGGCUGUAGUGCACUAUGCCAACUGGGAGUCUGCACUAAGUUCAGCAUUAGUAUGGUGACCUCCUGUGGUCAGGUGACUACCAGGUUGCCUAAUGAGGGGUGAAUUGGCCCAGAUCAGAAUUGGAGUAGGUCAAAACUCCUGUGUUGAUCAUUGCGUGGAAUUACCCCUGUGAAUGGUCACUGAAUUCCAGUCUGGGCAUAGGAAGGCAUCGUCUGU